Molecule: ribosomal RNA, 380 nt
Filed under: uncultured bacterium
Lineage: Bacteria
Description: bacterial SSU rRNA
Rfam family: Bacterial small subunit ribosomal RNA
Source: RNAcentral
UUUUGCGCAAUGGGCGAAAGCCUGACGCAGCGACGCCGCGUGAGGGAUGAAGGCCUUCCCCCUCGUAAACCUCUUUUGAUGGGGACGAAAAAAAUGACGGUACCCAUCGAAUAAGCACCGGCUAACUCUGUGCCAGCAGCCGCGGUAAUACAGAGGGUGCAAGCGUUAUUCGGAUUUACUGGGCGUAAAGGGCGCGUAGGCGGUCUAGUUAGUCUGUUGUGAAAGCCCUGGGCUUAAUCCAGGAAGUGCAGCGGAUACUGCUAGGCUCGAGUGCAGGAGAGGAGGACGGAAUUCCCGGUGUAGAGGUGAAAUUCGUAGAUAUCGGGAGGAACAACAGAAGCGAAGGCGGUUCCCUGAGCUUAACUACGCGAGGCGCGAAA